RNAcentral lists this ribosomal RNA (487 nucleotides) under uncultured bacterium. Its description in RNAcentral is "partial 16S ribosomal RNA". It matches the Rfam family "Bacterial small subunit ribosomal RNA", at positions 28 to 523 of the family's 1533-position model. The record is from RNAcentral.
GACGAACGCUGGCGGCGUGCUUAACACAUGCAAGUCGAACGGUGAAGGUGGGAGCUUGCUCCUGCUGGAUCAGUGGCGAACGGGUGAGUAACACGUGAGUAACCUGCCCUUGACUCUGGGAUAAGCGUUGGAAACGACGUCUAAUACCGGAUACGAGCUUCAGCCGCAUGGCUAGGAGUUGGAAAGAUUUUUCGGUCAAGGAUGGACUCGCGGCCUAUCAGCUUGUUGGUGAGGUAAUGGCCCACCAAGGCGACGACGGGUAGCCGGCCUGAGAGGGUAACCGGCCACACUGGGACUGAGACACGGCCCAGACUCCUACGGGAGGCAGCAGUGGGGAAUAUUGCACAAUGGGCGCAAGCCUGAUGCAGCAACACCGCGUGAGGGACGACGGCCUUCGGGUUGUAAACCUCUUUUAGCAGGGAAGAAGCGCAAGUGACGGUACCUGCAGAAAAAGCACCGGCUAACUACGUGCCAGCCGCCGCGGUAA